CCGUACCGCAAACCGACACUGGUGCGCGAGAUGAGUAUUCUCAGGCGCUUGAGAGAACUCGGGAGAAGGUACUCGGCAAAUUGACACCGUAACUUCGGAAGAAGGUGUGCCUUUAGUAGGUGAACCCGUACAGGGGGAGCCCAAUGAGGUUGCAAAGAAUCGGUGGCUGCGACUGUUUAAUAAAAACACAGCACUCUGCAAACACGAAAGUGGACGUAUAGGGUGUGACGCCUGCCCGGUGCUGGAAGAUUAAGUGAUGGGGUGCAAGCUCUUGAUCGAAGUCCCAGUAAACGGCGGCCGUAACAAUAACGGUCCUAAGGUAGCGAAAUUCCUUGUCGGGUAAGUUCCGACCUGCACGAAUGGCGUAACGAUGGCCACACUGUCUCCUCCCGAGACUCAGCGAAGUUGAAAUGUUUGUGAUGAUGCAAUCUCCCCGCGGAAAGACGGAAAGACCCCAUGAACCUUUACUGUAGCUUUGUAUUGGACUUUGAACGGAUCUGUGUAGGAUAGGUGGGAGGCUUUGAAGCAGGGUCGCUAGAUCUUGUGGAGCCAACGUUGAAAUACCACCCUGGUGCGUUUGAGGUUCUAACCUAGGCCCGUUAUCCGGGUCGGGGACAGUGCAUGGUAGGCAGUUUGACUGGGGCGGUCUCCUCCCAAAGCGUAACGGAGGAGUUCGAAGGUACGCUAGUUACGGUCGGACAUCGUGACGAUGUGCAAUGGCAUAAGCGUGCUUAACUGCGAGACUGACAAGUCGAGCAGAUGCGAAAGCAGGACAUAGUGAUCCGGUGGUUCUGUAUGGAAGGGCCAUCGCUCAACGGAUAAAAGGUACUCUGGGGAUAACAGGCUGAUACCGCCCAAAAGUUCAUAUCGACGGCGGUGUUUGGCACCUCGAUGUCGGCUCAUCUCAUCCUGGGGCUGUAGCCGGUCCCAAGGGUAUGGCUGUUCGCCAUUUAAAGAGGUACGUGAGCUGGGUUUAAAACGUCGUGAGACAGUUUGGUCCCUAUCUUCCGUGGGCGCUGCAGAUUUGAGGAAGCCUGCUCCUAGUACGAGAGGACCGGAGUGGACGCACCUCUGGUGUACCUGUUGUCACGCCAGUGGCAUUGCAGGGUAGCUAAGUGCGGAAGAGAUAACCGCUGAAAGCAUCUAAGCGGGAAACUCGUUUCAAGAUGAGAUCUGCCGGGGCCUUGAGCCCCCUGAAGAGUCGUUCUAGACCAGGACGUUGAUAGGCUGGGUGUGGAAGCGCAGUAAUGCGUUAAGCUAACCAGUACUAAUUGCUCGUGCGGCUUGACCC
This 1291-nucleotide ribosomal RNA is filed under the name metagenome. Its description in RNAcentral is "bacterial LSU rRNA". It matches the Rfam family "Bacterial large subunit ribosomal RNA", at positions 1642 to 2925 of the family's 2925-position model. The record is from RNAcentral.